CAGCCGCCGCGGGAAUACGUAGGUCCCGAGCGUUGUCCGGAUUUAUUGGGCGUAAAGCGGGCGCAGGCGGUUAGAUAAGUCUGAAGUUAAAGGCUGUGGCUUAACCAUAGUACGCUUUGGAAACUGUUUAACUUGAGUGCAAGAGGGGAGAGUGGAAUUCCAUGUGUAGCGGUGAAAUGCGUAGAUAUAUGGAGGAACACCGGUGGCGAAAGCGGCUCUCUGGCUUGUAACUGACGCUGAGGCUCGAAAGCGUGGGGCGCAAACAGGAUUAGAUACCCCUGUAGUCCCUGUCUCUUAUACA
RNAcentral lists this ribosomal RNA (301 nucleotides) under uncultured bacterium. Its description in RNAcentral is "partial 16S ribosomal RNA". It matches the Rfam family "Bacterial small subunit ribosomal RNA", at positions 509 to 808 of the family's 1533-position model. The record is from RNAcentral.